UACGGAGGAUGCAAGCGUUAUCCGGAAUGAUUGGGCGUAAAGCGUCCGCAGGUGGCUAUGUAAGUCUGCUGUUAAAGGGUGAGGCUCAACCUCAUAAGAGCAGUGGAAACUACAUGGCUAGAGUGCGUUCGGGGCAGAGGGAAUUCCUGGUGUAGCGGUGAAAUGCGUAGAGAUCAGGAAGAACACCGGUGGCGAAAGCGCUCUGCUAGGCCGCAACUGACACUCAUGGACGAAAGCUAGGGGAGCGAAUGGG
Molecule: ribosomal RNA, 253 nt
Filed under: uncultured bacterium
Lineage: Bacteria
Description: partial 16S ribosomal RNA
Rfam family: Bacterial small subunit ribosomal RNA
Source: RNAcentral